Molecule: transfer RNA, 72 nt
Filed under: Verticillium dahliae VDG1
Lineage: Eukaryota; Fungi; Ascomycota; Sordariomycetes; Glomerellales; Plectosphaerellaceae
Description: tRNA-Arg
Rfam family: tRNA
About the family: Transfer RNA (tRNA) molecules are approximately 80 nucleotides in length. Their secondary structure includes four short double-helical elements and three loops (D, anti-codon, and T loops).
Source: RNAcentral
GGCCGCAUGGCCCAAUGGCAAGGCGUCUGCCUACGAAUCAGGAGAUUGCAGGUUCGAGCCCUGCUGUGGUCA